Molecule: transfer RNA, 64 nt
Filed under: Rhagophthalmus sp. UPOL 000155
Lineage: Eukaryota; Metazoa; Arthropoda; Insecta; Coleoptera; Rhagophthalmidae
Description: partial tRNA-Ser
Source: RNAcentral
AAAGAAAUAUGUUAACCAAAAUAAAGCUUCUAACUUUAAUUUUUAGCAGUGAAACUCUGUUUAU